RNAcentral lists this ribosomal RNA (425 nucleotides) under uncultured bacterium. RNAcentral describes it as "bacterial SSU rRNA". It matches the Rfam family "Bacterial small subunit ribosomal RNA", at positions 356 to 773 of the family's 1533-position model. The record is from RNAcentral.
GGGGAAUAUUGGACAAUGGGCGAAAGCCUGAUCCAGCCAUGCCGCGUGUGUGAAGAAGGUCUUCGGAUUGUAAAGCACUUUAAGUUGGGAGGAAGGGCAGUAAGUUAAUACCUUGCUGUUUUGACGUUACCAACAGAAUAAGCACCGGCUAACUUCGUGCCAGCAGCCGCGGUAAUACGAAGGGUGCAAGCGUUAAUCGGAAUUACUGGGCGUAAAGCGCGCGUAGGUGGUUUUGUAAGUUGGAGGUGAAAUCCCCGGGCUCAACCUGGGAACUGCCUCCAAAACUGCAUGACUAGAGUACGGUAGAGGGUAGUGGAAUUUCCUGUGUAGCGGUGAAAUGCGUAGAUAUAGGAAGGAACACCAGUGGCGAAGGCGACUACCUGGACUGAUACUGACACUGAGGUGCGAAAGCGUGGGGAGCAAAC